This 92-nucleotide non-coding RNA is filed under the name unclassified sequences. The record is from Rfam.
GUGCUGAAAUGCAUGGUGGGAAACAAUGUGUAAAUCAUUGACUGUUCCUGCAACGGUAAAAACGAAAGUUUAGUCCGAGCGCCACCCAGCAU